UAGGUAGAAGCCCGCUGGAUUGGGUGUUUAGUUGUUAAUUAAAGGUUUGCGGGAUCGAGGCCCGUCUAUCUAGU
RNAcentral lists this transfer RNA (74 nucleotides) under Sphaerodactylus townsendi. Its description in RNAcentral is "tRNA-Asn". The record is from RNAcentral. Lineage: Eukaryota; Metazoa; Chordata; Lepidosauria; Squamata; Sphaerodactylidae. RNAcentral also lists the same sequence under 1 other name.